AGGCGAAGGAGUCGCACGAAUCCAAAAUCUAGUGUGUGCGGCAGAGCCGACCUUGAACGUGCGUUAAUUUCAGGCCGGGAAAUUUCACCCUUGACGAUAAAUAACGGAUAAAACGAGACGCGGUAUCGUAAAUUGGACUUGCAAAAAGUUUAGCGCCCAUCAACAUUUCGGUCCGAUGAACGGCGCGCAUAAUUUAUGGACGGAUCCGAACCGCCGUUCUCACUCCUCUAAUAAAUCACUUGUCGCUGCAGCCGGUGAUGGUACAGUGUCGGAAACG
Cinara cedri is the source of this 277-nucleotide non-coding RNA. Lineage: Eukaryota; Metazoa; Arthropoda; Insecta; Hemiptera; Aphididae. The record is from the annotation of a GenBank genome assembly.